AUUUCUCCACGCAAUUUCUAUUGUUUUAUUAAUAUGAAUCAUAUUAUGUCUUAUUAACCUUUGUAUACCAGCACUCAGUGCCCGACUCAGCCGGCACUCAGAAAAUGUGAAAUGCAUAAAAAGGGAAUCUAGUCUUUCAUUUAUUCUUUAAAAGAGAAGAUAUAAUAAGUUGCAAUGCAGACUCUUAAGUUUUUAGUUACGUUUUUAUAGUUAAGUAGGAGUAGAUACAGAUUUAACGUAGGAGUAUAGUAGUCCAGGAUAACAGCAGUAACAGCGUUUUAACUCAAAGGAGGUGGGGAAAUAACCUCACAUUUCAACUUGAGCUCUAAUGGUCCUUUUCCCCAUGAGGGGUAUGAAGCUGGGAGCUGUAAGGCCAAUCGUCGGGAUGGCAGGUGCAGGGCAGCCAAUCAUACUGCAGAGGUCCUGCCGACGGCCCGCCCCUCGCCUCUCGCCGUUGGGUCCGGGCGCCAGCUACACACCCCUUUUGUAGCUCUGGCUUGCCGAGGCUGCAAUGUCCGCCUCAAAGUGCUGGAUCUGAAACCCGGUUGAAUGCUGCCAUGACUGCCAAAGAUUAUCCGUCAUUGUGGGGCUUUGGAACAACGAAAACAUUUAAAAUUCCCAUUGAACAUUUGGAUUUCAAAUAUAUUGAAAAAUGUUCAGAUGUUAAAUACCUGGAAAAAAUUCUUUGUGUGCUCAGGUAAGCAUUUAAAAACCAUAUCAUGCUUUAUUAUGCCAGUUUUAACUAUGUUGUGGCCUUCUAAAAGUUAAAGCAACAAUAAAAAUAUCAAGGAAAGUUUUCAAAUAUUGAGAUGAUUGUUUUUGCCUAUGGUGGUUUC
RNAcentral lists this long non-coding RNA (836 nucleotides) under Ictidomys tridecemlineatus (thirteen-lined ground squirrel). RNAcentral describes it as "lncRNA (ENSSTOG00000034776.1)". Lineage: Eukaryota; Metazoa; Chordata; Mammalia; Rodentia; Sciuridae. The record is from RNAcentral.